This 479-nucleotide ribosomal RNA is filed under the name uncultured bacterium. Its description in RNAcentral is "partial 16S ribosomal RNA". It matches the Rfam family "Bacterial small subunit ribosomal RNA", at positions 28 to 507 of the family's 1533-position model. The record is from RNAcentral.
GAUGAACGCUGGCGGCGUGCUUAACACAUGCAAGUCGAGCGAGAAGUUUUGAAAAGAUUCUUCGGAUGAAAUUUAAAAUGGAAAGCGGCGGACGGGUGAGUAACGCGUAGGCAACCUGCCCCAUACAAAGGGAUAGCAUUUGGAAACGAAUAUUAAUACCUUAUGAAACUUAACUAGUGCAUGCCAGGUAGGUCAAAGAUUUAUCGGUAUGGGAUGGGCCUGCGUCUGAUUAGCUAGUUGGUGAGGUAACGGCUCACCAAGGCGACGAUCAGUAGCCGACCUGAGAGGGUGAACGGCCACAUUGGAACUGAGACACGGUCCAAACUCCUACGGGAGGCAGCAGUGGGGAAUAUUGCACAAUGGGGGAAACCCUGAUGCAGCAACGCCGCGUGAACGAUGAAGGCCUUUGGGUCGUAAAGUUCUGUUCUAGGUGAUGAAAACUGACAGUAACCUAGGAGAAAGCCCCGGCUAACUCCGUG